UAUAUUUGCCCGUCUAAUAAUCAAAUUAUUAGCUACAUAAUAAUUAUUUACAAUAAUAUUGGCAUG
RNAcentral lists this non-coding RNA (66 nucleotides) under unclassified sequences. RNAcentral's name for it is "S15-Flavobacteria ribosomal protein leader". It matches the Rfam family "S15-Flavobacteria ribosomal protein leader". The record is from RNAcentral.